Long non-coding RNA from Patella vulgata (common limpet), 1365 nucleotides. RefSeq lists it as uncharacterized. The record is from RefSeq and is a predicted model, not a curated record. NCBI's taxonomy places the organism in Eukaryota, Metazoa, Mollusca, Gastropoda, Patellidae. The transcript is spliced from 3 exons.
AUCUCUAACAAUUUCCAACUGUCUGGGAUUUUUAGCAUGCGCCCUGUCCUGAUGCAGCACACUGGACCUCGGUUUUUCGUCCCAUCCAAACGACUAGGUGCUAUUCUUUGCCAGCCCCUCAGCUCGGGUCUGCACCACUGUGACUGACAAGGAAGGGGAAUCCGUCAUGAGUUUUUAUGACCGGGAAUCGAAUCAACAACCUGGACCUGGUUAGUAAGCAAGCUCCGUAGUCACUGAGCCACUGCUGCUCCCCAUAUAAUAAACAAGAAUGAUAAAUAAAUAGCUCUAACUAAAUAUCAUGAAUGAUCAUCUGAUCUGGAUGUCCAUUAUUCAUCAAAUAUGCAUAGAUUUAGAAAGGGGUAGGGGUGAAGGUUACCUUGAUCAUGGCCUGAUGCCCCCCUGAAAUUGCGCCGUUGAUUACAGUCUGGCUACGGGCCUGCAUAUUAUAUUAUAAUGAAUCAAGGCCAAUGCAAGGUAGAUAAGCUCUUAUGUGAUUGAGUGUAGUUUAGCUUUAUUAUAAGAUUAUAGUAAACAAACAAUAUUUUCGAGUUUCUAUUAGAUGGGGGUUGUUUUGAACAUAACAUGUAUUACAUUGGUCUAAAAAAAAGGGUAUCAAAUUCCUAUUAAUACUGGAUGCAUGAUAGUCGUUUGUGUCCGAUAGUGAGUGGACUACUCUUCAUUUCAGAAAAAUGCAGAAGAUAUGAUGCGUGAAGCAUCAGAAGCUUUAAUGAAAGCGGCGAAUAGUUUAAUCAACAUGAAUGUUAAACCUCUAACAACAUUUACAGCACCAAGUCCAAAUGUAUCAGAAAUCCGAAAAUUAUUUGGCCCGUAUCCUCGGCCUCCAACAGUACAGCUACAGGGUAAACAACGCUUUGUCAACAGGGGAUCAUUGGUUUCAAAAUGGACGCAUAAAUAUGUUUGCCUUUCAAGUCAUGUACAGGAUACCAUCCCAGAUAAGAACGACAAAAGAAUACUUCACAAUGGAGGACUUGGGGAAAAAAUCUUGAAUUUUGAAAAAAAUAGUUCCCCAGAGUACUUCCGUAAACAACUGUACAAUGCCUAUCACCAGCUUGAAGAAGGUGGGGGUUUUGAUCUUAUGAGAAGCAGUGGCCGAAAGUCUUUAGAGUUGAUUCCACCAGCAAAUAAAGGAUAUUCCGUGAAAUAUUUGUUAGAGGAUGCUGUGAUAGGUCAAUCUAUAAUUUAUAUAAGACCACUUCAGAAAGAUCUAGAACUUCUUGAAAACAUUGACACAGAAGAGCCUGCAGAUGAUUGUUUAUUGGAAAAGUGUAUUCAGUGUGAACAGUUGAUUCCUGUUAUUAAUAUGAGAGUGCAUAUUUCAGAACAUAACAGCAAGGCAAGUAUUUG